Mytilus californianus (California mussel) is the source of this 875-nucleotide long non-coding RNA. RefSeq lists it as uncharacterized. Lineage: Eukaryota; Metazoa; Mollusca; Bivalvia; Mytilida; Mytilidae. The transcript has 3 exons. The record is from RefSeq and is a predicted model, not a curated record.
AGCUGACAUUUUGAAAAAGGUAUACUGUUGACUAUCAAUUUGCAUGAUUAGUUACAGAUGUCGACUCGGACUACUGCAAAAGACAAUAAUUCAGUUCACUGAUUUAGAUUGAAUAGUGGUUCGGUUAAUUCUCCUUUUCCCCAAACAAGGCAAGAACAUUAAAGAUAAAGGGAAACUAUAAACAAAAGAGAUUAUCAACAAAAAUAGAUUUCAGACGUCAACAAAGCCUAAAUGGUCAGACAUCUUGGUUUUCAUGAUCAUCAUUCAACAGGUCAAUACUGAACAGAAAACUUAAAGUUGAUAUUUUUCUAUAUAGUGUGACUUUUUUAUUAAUUUGAAAUGGAAUGUGUUUUUUUCCUACAUAAGAAAGAGGAAAUUUCAACAUAAUGACUAUAAACAAAAAGGAGUCAUAUUAUCAUGAUCAUAGAUGCACAAGAACUAAAUCAUGUAAAUGCAACAACGUAAUUAUCAAUUGAAAGAAGGGAGGAAUGAAAAAAUAUAUUAGUAAUUUGUUGUCCAAAUGAACUUGCUUUGUCCACUCAUUUAAAUCACUCCAUCCAAUAAAGAUGUACGGAGGAGGAUUUUUGAAGAACAGAUUGCAAAAAUGUUUUGUCUAAGAAUUGUAGGAAUAUUCUAGUGGAUGAAAUAAUUUAUUUACUUGACUCUUAUGUAGUGGACUGAAUAAUUGUACAUAGCAAGCUGAAACAAGAAAACUAAAACUUAACAGGAAAAGUGUUAAUUUUAUAAAUUUGCAAAUAUAAACGUAAUAUUAUGAACACCACAAAGGUAUAAGAUUCAAAUUGUUUGCAUAUUCAUGUAUUGCAAUGGAACUAUAACAAAGAAAACUUUACCUCAUUAAAAGAGUAAACUAUUAA